Molecule: non-coding RNA, 993 nt
Organism: Pelobates cultripes (western spadefoot toad)
Lineage: Eukaryota; Metazoa; Chordata; Amphibia; Anura; Pelobatidae
Source: the annotation of a GenBank genome assembly
GUUCCUUCAAAGAGCAGGCUGUGUGGAGCGUUGCUGCGUGUUACCAUGGUAACAUUCUGACACAACUUGCGAGAGAAGAAGAGUGAAAGCCUGCAGUCAGAGGAGUUGCAGGCUGAAGGUCCGGUGCCACCAUUGGACCACCAGGGAUUGCAGUGUCCCCACCUGGCCAAAGGUAAGGGGGGGGGGGGGCAUAAAGCUUUUUUUCUUCUUUUUUAAAUAAUAAAAAAAUAAACACUUUGCUCCCUUAUCACCCCCCCCCCACACACAGUAUAGACCAUAUUCACACACUGCACCCCCUCACACACAAUCCACCCCUGCACACACUGCACCCCCUCACACACACACUGCACUCCCUCACUCACAUGCUACACCCCCCUCACUCACAUACUGCACCCCUCACACAUACCACUCUGCACCCCCUCACACACACACCACACCCUCACACACACACACACUGCACCCUAUCACACACUGCAUCCCUUCACACAUACUGCACCACACCUCACACACACACUGCACCCCCUCACACAAAUCACACUGCACACCCUCACACACACAACACUCUGCACCUCCUUACACACACACCACCCCCUCACACUGAACCCCCUCUCUCACACACACGGAACACCCUUACACACACCACUCUGAACCCCCUCACACACACCACUCUGCACCCCCUCACACUGAACGCCUUUAGACAUACCACUCUGCAACCCCUCACACACUGAACACCCUUACACACACUACUCUCCACCCCCUCAAACAUACAUUGAACCCGCUCAUAAAAAUCACUCUGCACCCCCAACAAACACACAUAUGGCUGUCAAGACCUGCCCGCUAUUUACUGUAUUAAAAACGAGGGGUGGGGGAUCUAGAUCAAGGCACAGGGAUAAUAUAGUGAUAGGAAUACAGGCCUGUACUCCUAACACUACAAUGCUCCUUUCAUAUAUUCUGUAGCACUGUGCAAUGGAUGGACAAUCCCUUUCUCCCAAC